CAGUCGCCCGGGAAAACAGAGGGUGCGAGCGUUAAUCGGAUUUACUGGGCGUAAAGCGUGCGUAGGCGGCUUCUUAAGUCGGAUGUGAAAUCCCUGAGCUUAACUUAGGAAUUGCAUUCGAUACUGGGAAGCUAGAGUAUGGGAGAGGAUGGUAGAAUUCCAGGUGUAGCGGUGAAAUGCGUAGAGAUCUGGAGGAAUACCGAUGGCGAAGGCAGCCAUCUGGCCUAAUACUGACGCUGAGGCACGAAAGUGUGGGGAUCAAACAGGAUUAGAUACCCGAGUAGUCCCUGUCUCUUAUACA
Molecule: ribosomal RNA, 301 nt
Filed under: uncultured bacterium
Lineage: Bacteria
Description: partial 16S ribosomal RNA
Rfam family: Bacterial small subunit ribosomal RNA
Source: RNAcentral